This 87-nucleotide transfer RNA is filed under the name Desulfurobacteriaceae bacterium. Its description in RNAcentral is "tRNA-Leu". It matches the Rfam family "tRNA". Rfam says of the family: Transfer RNA (tRNA) molecules are approximately 80 nucleotides in length. Their secondary structure includes four short double-helical elements and three loops (D, anti-codon, and T loops). Lineage: Bacteria; Pseudomonadati; Aquificota; Aquificia; Desulfurobacteriales; Desulfurobacteriaceae. The record is from RNAcentral.
GCCCGGGUGGCGGAAUUGGCAGACGCGCCGGACUUAAAAUCCGGUGGCCUUAUGGCCGUGCGGGUUCGAAUCCCGCCCCGGGCACCA